Molecule: long non-coding RNA, 312 nt
Organism: Polypterus senegalus (gray bichir)
Lineage: Eukaryota; Metazoa; Chordata; Cladistia; Polypteriformes; Polypteridae
Exons: 3
Source: RefSeq, a predicted model, not a curated record
GAAAUGACUUGAAUCUCAGCCAGGAUGAGCUCACAUACUUAAUGAGAGGACUGCCAAGUUCCUCUGCAGCAAGCAGGAAAGAGCCAGACCAGUAGCAGCUUGCUGGCUAUGGUGGGCGUCGUGGAAGAAUGCAUCCUUGAUGCCUGUGUCAACAGAGAACCUAACUGGAAAUCUAGCAUCGCUGUCAGAACAUAAAGCUGUCACUUUACCUGGGAGAAGUACCCAAUGACUGGAAACAUGAAAAUGUGACCCCAUUCCACAAAAUAUUCUAGUACAAUUACGGAGCUGGACAGUUUGACAUCUGUGGCAGAG